GCACAAGCGGUGGAGCAUGUGGUUUAAUUCGACGCAACGCGAAGAACCUUACCUGGGCUCGAAAUGUAGUGGAAUCCGGCAGAAACGUCGGCGUCUAGCAAUAGACCGCUAUAUAGGUGCUGCAUGGCUGUCGUCAGCUCGUGUCGUGAGAUGUUGGGUUAAGUCCCGCAACGAGCGCAACCCCCGUCCUUAGUUGCUACCAUUUAGUUGAGCACUCUAAGGAGACUGCCGGUGAUAAGCCGCGAGGAAGGUGGGGAUGACGUCAAGUCCUCAUGGCCCUUACGGGCUGGGCUACACACGUGCUACAAUGGCGGUGACAAUGGGACGCUAAGGGGCAACCCUUCGCAAAUCUCAAAAAGCCGUCUCAGUUCGGAUUGGGCUCUGCAACUCGAGCCCAUGAAGUUGGAAUCGCUAGUAAUCGUGGAUCAGCACGCCACGGUGAAUACGUUCCCGGGC
This 456-nucleotide ribosomal RNA is filed under the name uncultured bacterium. RNAcentral describes it as "bacterial SSU rRNA". It matches the Rfam family "Bacterial small subunit ribosomal RNA", at positions 923 to 1379 of the family's 1533-position model. The record is from RNAcentral.